GACGAACGCUGGCGGCGUGCUUAACACAUGCAAGUCGAACGGAAAGGCCCUGCUUUUGUGGGGUGCUCGAGUGGCGAACGGGUGAGUAACACGUGAGUAACCUGCCCUUGACUUUGGGAUAACUUCAGGAAACUGGGGCUAAUACCGGAUAGGAGCUCCUGCUGCAUGGUGUGGGUUGGAAAGUUUCGGCGGUUGGGGAUGGACUCGCGGCUUAUCAGCUUGUUGGUGGGGUAGUGGCUUACCAAGGCUUUGACGGGUAGCCGGCCUGAGAGGGUGACCGGCCACAUUGGGACUGAGAUACGGCCCAGACUCCUACGGGAGGCAGCAGUGGGGAAUAUUGCACAAUGGGCGGAAGCCUGAUGCAGCAACGCCGCGUGCGGGAUGACGGCCUUCGGGUUGUAAACCGCUUUCGCCUGUGACGAAGCGUGAGUGACGGUAAUGGGUAAAGAAGCACCGGCUAACUAUGUG
RNAcentral lists this ribosomal RNA (468 nucleotides) under uncultured bacterium. RNAcentral's name for it is "partial 16S ribosomal RNA". It matches the Rfam family "Bacterial small subunit ribosomal RNA", at positions 28 to 507 of the family's 1533-position model. The record is from RNAcentral.